UUUUUUUUUUUUUUUGCGAGGAGCUAGCUAGUCUCCCCUGAUCGAUGUCGUCAUCUAUAUGUGGAGCCAAGCUAUCCUGUGAUUAAAAACAUACAAGUAUUCAUUUCCUGGGUACAAGCAAGUGGUUAUGUCUCAUUUACAUUGGCAAUCAUGUACACAAGUAUCCGGAAGAAGCAGCAGCAGCAGCAGCAAGGAGGGACUUUUGGCACAUGGUGGUUCCCUGGAAGCAGAGGAUGGUGUGGUCGGCGACCUCCAGCUUGUCGGAGUGCGUCAUGGCCCUGAAGCCCAUGGAUCCCGUCCACAUCCUCAGGAGCUCAGGCACCGCAGGCAGCACCAGCCUGUGGACGCCCAGGUCUCGGGCCAGCAUCUUCUCCAGCUCCGUCAUGAGCAGCCGGAGCAUCCCCUGGCGGCGGUGCGCGAAGCGAGUCCCCACCAGCGGCAGCUCCGCCACCUUGUUCCCGUACACCCGGAGCGUGGCCACGGUCACGAGCUCGCCGCCCUUCUCCAGGCCCACCACGUAGUAUCCCCGGAACUGCAGGCGCCGCAGCUCCGACUCCCGGUUGAAGACCACGUCGGCGCUGAGGUCGCUCUGCGUGCGGGGCUCCACCAGGGGCACGAAGCAUUCGUGGAGCACGUCCAACGCCGCGCGAAGCUUCCCGUGCUCCAUGGCCAUGGCUUCCUCUGAGGAUACGCCUUGUUGGUCGUCGGAUCGUCGUCGCAGGAUGGCCAGCGACACGCCCUCAGCUGAGGUCGGGAUCGAGGUGCCCGCGAGGCCCUGCAGAUACCGGAAAACCCUCUCGCACCCGGGGCUGCAGAGCCACGGCCCUUGCUGCAGUUGGAGGCCCCCUUCCACGCAGCCGACAUGGUACUCAUGCUCGCAUUGCUCGCAGUAUAUGAUGGUCUUGUCCGUCAAUGGCCGCCGGGUCGUGUCGUCAGGAUCAGCAGGGUCGAAGUCGCUGCCACCGCAGGCGGCGCACCUGCAGCACGGGCAGAACCACUCUUCUUCUUCUUCUGGAGAAGCAGAAGCCGCCGGCAGGCCGAGGCAGUCGUGAUGGAACGCCGACGGGCAGUGGUCGCAGAGCAGCAGCUCGCCGCCGUCGUUGCAGAUGGAGCACACCGAGUCGCCGCCGGGGUCCAGGCAUGCCUCCUUGAGCCUCACCACUCGUCGCAUGCCUUUGUUAUUCCUGUCGUUGUUGCGCCUCAUGAGCUCCACGAGGCACUGCGACAGCGACCUGCCGUCCUUGAGGAACAGCCGCGCCCAGGGGCGGCCGGCCGUGCGCCUCCCCCGCGUGGCGUGCGCCUCGAACUCCGCGACCGUGAAGGCCUUGCCGCAGCACGUGCAUCGGAUCACCCCGUCGCCGGUGAUCAGCCCGACCUUGCUGCUUGUUGCCGCCGCCGCACUGUACGUCACCUUGUCCCUCGGCACCAGGAUGCCCUCGUCGAUCAGCACCGACAGCAGCGUCCUCGCGCGGCGCGGGCACGUCGCCGCCGCCGCCUCGCAGCUGGGCCGCAGCACGCGCGACGAUCCGGCGGCUUUCUUCUUCUUCCUCUUGCUGCUGACGGUGGUGGUGGUGGUGGUGCAUCGCUUGAUCAGGCAGCUGCCAUCGGCGGCACCCUCUACUGCUUGGCAUGUUUUCUUCUUCUGGAUGGUGGUGCAUUUCUUGAUCACGGGGCCGCCGCCGCCGCUGCCACAACCAGAACUGAUUCGUAGUAGCUCGGAUAUUUUCCUCUUCUUCCUGUUGCCGGUGGUUGGGGCGGUGGUGGAUUCCGAUGAAGUGGAGGUGAAGGCCUGGCAGGCGGUGUGGAGGGAGGGGUAGGAGCGGCCGGUGGGCGCCUUGUAGCGCAGCUCCUCCCGGCCGUCGCUCUUGAGCUUCAUCCAGAAGCUCCACCCGGACGCCUGGAGCUGCCUCUUGGCGCUAGCGCGCAGCCGGUCCGCCGUGGGGCCCGUGGCCCGGUGAUUGGACGCCAUGAGGGCCACGUACUCGGCAAUGGCGUUGGCGUCCUCCUGCUGCGUUGGCGUUGGCGCCGGAUCGUCGUCGUCGUCGUUAUAAAUCUUGUUGGUUUCUGGUGGUGGAGGUGGAGGAUGCUGGUCAUCAAGAAGGGACCGGGUGGCCCCCGCGGCGACGAUGAGGUCCGGGAGGGAGCAGUAGGUCUUGCCGUCGUGGGAUUCGUAGCGGAGCCUGGGCGCCAUGGCGGCGUUGCGCCUGGACACGAUCGUCCACCCGAGCGCCACCAGGUGCUUCCUGACCUUGGUCCUGAGGGCCUCGUUUCUGCUGCGUAGGCGGGACGAGAGCUGCCGGCGCCCGCGCUCCGAGAUGAGCAGCGCGGCCACCUCCGGCGAGAACUCGGCGUCCAGCGCCACCGGCUGCCACGCCGCCGCCGUCGUCAUGGUGGUCAUCUGCCAAUGUGUCAACCUCCUAGGUUUGCAUUGCAUACAAGUAGUAGUAGAUUGUAGAUUUAUAGAUGUCGCCGUGGUGCAGGCAGGCGGAGUUGGAGUUCGGCUCGGAUCUCAUCCACCAGGCGUCGGAGUCGGAGAGGGAAGGUGAAGAUGGAGUCCGAUGCGGUUGCGGCAAUCUCCAAGGAUGACGACGGAUCAUUCAUUCAUUAUGGGCUUCUUAGUUGUGGCCUAGGCCUCCUGGGCCGUGGGCCGUGGGCCUGUUUCUACCUACCUACCCCUCCGUCCGGCCCGCUCACCUAAACCAUCUUCUUUCUUCGUCUUCCACGCCACCGUCGGAGGGACGGCAACAAAUCAGUCAGUCCGACGCGACGACCUCGCCGUCGCCGCCCGCCCGGCGAUGUUCGCCAAGCGCCUCUUCCACAAGGCACUCCAGCACCAUCACCAGGUCAGCUCUCCUGCCCUGUUCCCCUCUUCGUCUCCCUCGCUCGCUCAGCUCUGAUUGCGGACCCGGUCCAUGCUUACCGUGGCGGCUUCACCUUCUGCUUCUGAUUCCCGUUCUACUCUAUGCGUGCCCUUGCUGCAGGGAGCUGCUGGGGACGUGCCCCAAAUGGACGCGCAGAUCGCGCUUCACUACGGGGUGCCCUACACAGCCUCGCUGCUCGCCUUCGAUCCAGUCCAGCGCCUCCUCGCCGUCGGAACGCUGUCAGCCUCGCCUCCUAAUCACUUUCAUCUGUAUCGCAGCUACCUAUGCUUGCUUCAUAACAAAACAACCGUGUGCCUUGCGCUGUCACUGAAAUAAUUAGAGCUUCACUAAUUUCUGUCUUUCUUCAUGCAUGCUACCUAUAGUAUAGCAUAUAUAAAAAUGCACUUUACAUAACCAUGGAAACAAGCUGUUCAUUCAGUUUCUCUUGUUGUAUAUGUCUCAAAAAAAAGACUUGGCCCUGAUUUCAAUUCAGUAACAAAGCUGAUGUUAAUUGUAUGAAAUGAGAUAUCUUCGUCACAAGUUUAACCCUGUCUCUUGUCGAGUAGAUGCUCAUAGCCUUUCUGCACUUCAAUCAAACUGUAGGGAUGGUAGGAUAAAAAUAUUUGGGGGUGAUAGUAUUGAAGGCCUGCUUAUAUCACCAAAGAGUGUGCCGUACAAGUUUUUGCAGGUUUGCCUCCUCUUGACUAAAAUAUCUUCUCUUCACAACCAUUACCAUGUCCAACUUGCACUUUUUCCUUGAACCAACUAAUGGGUUGCUUCUUUACAGUUUAUAAUAAACCAGGGGCUUCUGGUUGCAAUUUCCAAUGAAAAUGAAAUUCAGGUGAGCCACUGACAGAUGAAGUUUUUUCUGUAUUCAAACUCUUCUUUCUUUUUGGAGUUUUAUUCCUACUUUGGGUAUCGCUGGAGUUCAUAUAUGUAAAUAUGUUAACAUCGGCUGUGGGCUGCUCAUGUGUUGGUUCAUACUCCAACUUUCUUCAUUACAUGUACUUUGAAUAUGACCUGCCAAAAAUAAACCCCUAGACCAACCUAGGAGGAACUAGGUGGCUUUGAUAUUAAGAAGAAGAAAUGGGCACUUUAAGUUGAGUUGAAGAGGACUCGCAUAUAGCCUCCCACCAACUGAACUACCUUGAAUACAAUCUGUCAACAUUCUUGUAUAGCCUCGUCAUUUUGUAAUGCCAAGGACACAUCUACUAUUAGUCUUAAAUAUCAUGGGAAGAGAUUGAGUUAAGCUCUGAUAAUGGAUGGUUUAGGGGGAGAAUAGCUCAUAAGGAAAGUAUCUUCCAAUAUAGUGCUGAAUCAUGUAAACUACAAAUAUUGUAAAGCCAUAUGGCACUUUUGUCUCAAUCACCAUACACGAAAAGGAACUCUGCACAAGAGCAUCGCAAGAAACUCUUGAGAGAGAAAAAGUACUUUUCCCUAUUAUAUAGUGUAACACCUAUAUCUGAACUCUCUUUUACUCCUUGCGUUGUUUAUCUAAUAAGAGUGUCGGCUGUUCUCUACCCUGAAAUUUGCAAGCAUGAUAUCUAGCGCUGUUAGUGACUGUUGCAUAUGAUACAUGCCUGUCUUGUAGGUAUGGAAUCUUGAGUUCAGGCAACUGUUUUGUUCAUCCCAGUGGGAUGUCAACAUUACUGCUUUUGCAGUCAUAGAGGGGUCCUUUCUGAUGUAAGCUAUUGACACGGCUACUCAUUUUUUCCACAUUCUAAAAAUUUACUUAGUUUGGCUUUGCAAUUUCUGUUUGCAGAAACUCAUAACUCUUCUUUUGUAUUCAAAAUUUGCCUUAAGGUACCUUGGAGAUGAGAAUGGUCUUCUUUCUGUAUUGAAGUAUGAGGUAGAUGAUGGGAAGGUUCAAAGAAUGCCAUACAAUGUUCCUAUCCAAUCUUUAGCCGGUACACCUUUACAUCUUCCUCGCCAAAUCUUAACUGCAACUAGAACGUUUCUUCCAAUGGCCUCUAUUGGUGUACAAAAUAUCCUUCCAUAUAUGGUGGACAAAACUCCAACUCUGAGCAAAGAUGAUUAUAGUCAAUCCACAAAAAUAUAAGAUGUUAGGCACAACUGCAUAAGUAAAUGACUUGAGUCAGUACAAAUUUUGGUGAAAUUGAGUGUGAUCAUUAAUAUAUACUGCUUACCCAUUGAGGUUCAAAGUUAAAUAUUCCAUGGUCCAUUUUUUUCCCCACAGAAACAGCUGGUGUUUGCUUACAGGAUCCUCAACCUAUUGUUGGAAUACUGAUCCAACCUGAAACUUUUGGGACAAGGUGUGUUCUUUCAUUUUAUGUGACCUGUAGACAUGUGGUAUUAUUGUCAGUUCCUCACUUUGUUUUGUUACGGUUAAAACAUUUAUGUGAUCUACCACAUGUCUUGGAAUAACAUAAAAAAGGUUUUUAUGCAAGAAAAAAAGAAGAAUAAUAGCUUUGUUUUCACCCCAUUAUUCUCAUUUUGAGGCAGAUCUAUUUUGUGAACCUGGAACACUUAAGAAUGACUGCUGGUAAAUGUUGCAGGGUGCUAAUUGCGUAUGAGAAAGGGUUGCUGGUUCUUUGGGAUGUAUCUGAUAACAAUGCAGUUUCUGUUAGAGGCUAUGGUGAUUUACACAUGAAGGGUCAAAUCACUGGUUCUCAGAGGGACGCUGGUGAAGAUCAAUUGAAUGAUGCUAUUGAUGAAACUGAAGAAGAAAGAGAAAUUUGCUCUCUUUGUUGGGCAUCGAGAGGGGGCUCAAUUGUUGCUGUUGGCUAUAUAACAGGAGACAUACUUCUAUGGGAUAUGACUACAAGAUUCCCAAGACAAGACAAGCAAAUCGAUGUUUCAUCUAAUGUUGUUAAGCUGCAGCUGGCUUCAGGGAGUCGUAGGCUUCCUGUUAUUGUCUUGCAUUGGUCUGCUGGGUCAGCAAUUCAUUCUAAUAAAGGAGGGCAUCUUUUUGUAUAUGGUGGUGAUGAUAUGGGAUCUGAAGAAGUUCUCACGGUUUGCCUCUUGUUUCAUUCUCAUUGUUACGAUUUUCCUUUUCUUUUGCCUGCCAUCUUAAAAGGCAUUGCUGAGCACAAUUGAUUCUUCUCAGGUGAACUCAAUUGUACCUUUUUGCUCCUUAACAAAUUUGGUGAAGUGAAUUCCUAGCUCAUUGAUGUCACCUGGCUGUGAGACGUGUUUAGUGUAGACAUACAAUACUAGUUUGGCUUUGGCAUGGUGACAUAGCCCACAUGGGUGUAUAGAAAAUAUGACCUACCAUGAGAGUUUUGUGCACGUAUAAAGAUCUUUUUCCCAGGUAGAACCAAACAAGUCUGGACAAUCCUCUUGGUUCAGGUCUCAGCAGCCAUAUCUAAUUGUUCAUCUAAAGUGAUGUAUUCAUACUUAUCAGGAUGACUAUCCUAAACAUGAAAAAACAGUUUGUUUGUUUUUAAAUUGUUUUCCCAAACUUUGCAUUUCAGAAAACUAGACCUUUAUCAAUGACAAAAAUGCUCAUUUUCUUGCAGGUUCUUAGCCUGGAGUCGUCUGCUGGAUUAGAAUCAGUAAGAUGCAUGUCACGGAUGGACCUCAAACUUGAUGGAUCCUUUGCUGAUAUGAUUCUUAUUCCUGAUACUGGGGUUCCUGAUAAAAGCAAAACUUCUGCACUUUUCAUUUUGACAAAUCCUGGACAACUGAAUUUUUAUGAUGGCGGUUCUCUAUUUUCUGUGCAAAAUACAAAAGAGGGAAAUGCUCUGCCUGAAGCACAAAAAUUUCCAGUUGCCGUUCCUACCAUUGAUCCCAACAUAACAGUCACGAAUCUUUGUUCACUAACCGAAAGAGAGCUUUCAAAUAUUUCAUUGAAGGUGCAUUCUGCUUGGAUUUGGAUAUUUUACUCUAUCAAGACAGCAUCAUUACUUAUGUAAGACCUUUUUUCUGUAGAAAUUUUGUGCUAGGCAAAAUGCUGGACCAUUCAUAUCAGGGAACAUGAAAUGGCCUUUGACUGGUGGGGUUCCAAGUGAGAUGUCACUGAAUGAAGAUCAUGCUGUUGGAAGACUAUACAUUGCAGGAUAUCAAGAUGGUUCUGUGAGAAUAUGGGAUGCAACAUUUCCUGUUCUGAUGCCAAUGUUCGUCCUGGAUGGAAAGGUAAGUCUCAUUUAUAUUUGCAUGAUUACUUGCAUUAUUCCUCUUUGGCCUAACAGAUUAACUAAUACAGUGAUAAUGAUUCUUUACCACAGGUGGCUGAUAUUAAUUUGGAUGGGGCAAAUGCUUCUGUGUCAUCUUUGGCCUUUUGUUCGUUAAACAUGACUUUGGCUGUUGGGACAACAAGUGGCCUGGUUAGAUCUUAUUGUCAAAUUUGUGGAUCAGUUGUUGUUGGUCGUUGAUACCUUGUUUAAUACCCCUUUUAUAUCUCAUUGUAGGUACGCAUCUAUAAACUUCGUGAGCACACUGGGGGUUCAAGCUUUCACUUUGUGAGUGAUUCUAAGCAAGAAGGUAAUUAUUUCAGGAAGCUAUAUGUGUCAUUAUGAACCCUUAUGACAGGGGGAAAUGUCUAGGAAGUUUCAGCUGGUGAAAUGGCCUAUUUAAAUCCCCCCAGACCCCUUUAAAUGUCAGAUCAGUUUCCCAUGUGAAAAUGUUGCUGCCUUGUUAAGGCAGUGUUAUGCCAAUUUUACUUCCUUCUCUUAGCACAUACAAGAUGCUUGGCAUGUCUGAAUGGUUCCUUACUGAAACGAAAACUGAACCGUUGAUUAUGAUUGAGCUUUUACCAGUGGACAAAAAACUCGACUGACCUAGGAGAAACUAGGUGGCUAUGUAAAUAAGAGGAAAUAGGCACCCAAAUUCUUGUUGAAGAGAACUCAAACCUAGGUGGUGAGGGCACAUCUCCCACCAACUUAUCAGUGGACAAAAAACUGCUUAGCCGCCAUAUCACAUUUAUAGAAACUGCGAAUGUUGUUUUUCACUGAAGGUUGAAAUUAUUUGUUCCCGUGCUAAAAAACUACUGAAGUAGGCCAUUAGCGAAACUCAUGUUAGGCAUUACAAAGUUCUCUCUUUGAAUAUGGUUCGUUAUAUUUUCAUUAACAACAAAUACUCUUUUCGUUUGACUUUCUUACAGUUCAUGUUGUUCAUCAAGGGAAAGGAUUUCAUUGUCAUGUUGCCUUUUUGGCAUCACAUUCCCCAGUGCGAUCUCUAUUAUUUACAGCUUCAGGGGAGGUACUUGCAGCUGGCUAUCAGAACGGUCAGGUAUAUUCUACCUAUUUUUAUAAUAGAUGCUGUCCUUUAGAUUUCUAUUAUUGCACUAUUUGCUUGAAACUUACAAUUACCAACUUAUAUCAGUUAAUCAUUAUGUUCUGGUUUGUCUUCUUGAAGGUGGCAAUGUUAGAUCUAAGUCAGCUAUCAAUUCUAUUCACGGUAGAUUGUGCAUCAGGAACGAACUCUCCUGUUGUUUCCUUGGGUAUUUACAGUGUUGCGCCAUCUGCUGCAAAAGCAGAUGAAUCAAAAAAAGAGAGUCCUCAAAAUGCUAUGUUACUCAGAGAUAUUCUUCUUUCCUUGACAAAGGAUGGCCGUGUUACUGUACUUGACUGCACAACGGGUGUGAUGAUAAAUUCACAUAUCUUAGAUCUGAAGCAAUCAUCUGCUAUUUCCAUGUAUGUCAUAGGCAAGUGAUUACUAUCAUUGCAUUAAGGUGGCACUUGUACCUCCUUUAGAUUAUUACCUAACUUUGCAAGCUUUUGCAUGUAGAUGGAGCUUCAGAUGAGAAGCAAACCCAAUUAUCAGAGGACACAAUUGGAAGUCAAGGUCAGACAGGAAAAGAAGGCAACGAUCUUGACAAAAAGCAAGCACCAGGAGUUGGAAAGCACCUGAAAAAUGCUUCCCACCUUUCACAGAAUGGUGGUUCAGAUUCACUUCUUCUGGUCUGCUGUGAGGAUGUUUUGCUUUUGUUAUCCCUUGCACCAUUGGUUCAGGUGUGUACAUAGCUGGUACGAACUGCUUUUUGUUACUUUCCAAACUUCCAUAUCUUACUGGUGACGUUCCUUUUCCUAUCAGGGAAACAACAAGCAUCUACAUAAGACAAAACUUGCAAAACCUUGUUGCUGGUCAGCAGUUUUCAAGAAUAUGGAUGGCAAAAUUUGUGGGUUGAUAUUAGCUUAUCAGACUGGCACUAUAGAAUUAAGGUAGUUUUGUCAUCUCUUUGCCUUGUCAUACAAGAUAUGGAUAAUCAGUGCAGCUUUGAUAUAUUGACUUAAAAGUUUAUAUAUAUUAGAAAAUGUGUCCUCUGUUUACAUCUAAACAUAUGCUUUGAAGCAGAAAAAAAUAGCUUACUGCAAGUAUUUUGUUUCACCACUUGAACCAAAUUUCACCAUGUAGAAUCACAUGAGAAUGUUUUAAGUAUAGAUAAUACUGAUUUUCAAUGUAGUCAAUAUUAUUGGGUUUUAAAAGGUAGAUUUUUGACUAAGCCCUUUCAUCUAUUUUACGUACUGGCAUAUAUUCACAUAUCCGUGCUAGGGAUUGAUGAAGUUUGCUCAGACCAUGGCAAUUUGACUUUAUUAUGGGCAGGUCUGUGCCAGAUCUAGCUAUUGUUGCUGAGAGCUCCUUGAUGUCGUUAUUGAGAUGGAGUUACAAGGCAGGCAUGGAUAAAUCCAUGAGCUCCUCAAACGGACAAAUUACUCUGGUAACUUUUAUCACUUGCCCUUCUAACUUAGUCCUUAGGAUCUGGUUGGUGGAUUUCAGAUUUAGUAUAGUGAACUUUAGUGCCUAGUAUGUGUAGUAGUUUUGGUUUUAAGUUCUGUAUUGUUGCUGCCACAUCCAUAUCGAGCUUAUUUAAUCCAAACAGAGCAGGUUUUUUUUCCUGGAAUUUUGGUACCUAAAACGGGUGUCAUGUUUUCUUUGUGGCAAGCAUGCUUGAAGAGGUGGUUGAGUUUGUUCACCAAUAAACCUACAACUUACCAGUUGAUUCAAUUUUUAAAGGAAACUAGGGGCCGCCUGGACCAUUUGGAUUUCAUAUAUAUUCAGAUUUUACUGAAAAAUGCUCAUUUUCCUAACAUAUACUCCACCACAGGUAAAUGGAUCUGAAUUUGGAAUUAUAUCUCUCAUGGCCUUAGAGAAUGACUUCAGGUACUUCACAUUUCUUGCAUUGUUGCACUGAGAUGCUAUUCAGAUUGAGAAGUAAUAGGUUUGACUGCUGACCCUGUGGUAAUAGGAUUCCAGAAUCUCUGCCAUGCCUUCAUGACAAAGUUCUUGCAGCAGCUGCGGAAGCAGCUAUUAGUUUCUCAACUGACCAGAGAAGGAAGCAGGUAUCCAUUUCUUUUCUGAUCUCUUUUAUCGAUAUGGCAGCUGCUGUACAUUUUGGCUUCACAUGAAACACUUCGGUGCAGAAUCCAGCAGCAGGAAUCCUUGGUGGCAUCAUUAAAGGAAUGAAAGGCAAGGCUGAAGAAAAUGCAAAAAUGAGAGAAAGCUUCACUGUGCAAACCCCCAGCGAACAUUUGGAGUCAAUUUUCUUGAAAGAUUCAUUUGUUGAACCAUCAAUACCCAAUCUUGAUGACCCGAUAGAAGAACUGUCAAUAGGUUCUCUUUCCCCUUCCUCAUGAGCAUUUAUCUGAAGUGUUCCCUGUUAACUUGAGAGUAUUCAAUGCAGAUGACAUAGAAAUUGAUGAUGAAGUACCAGUAGCCCAGGCACCAGCAUCCUCCUCUACAUUUCACGGGAACAAGAGAACAGCAGGUCGGACCUAAUACUUGUGCAUCUUUUUUGUUUCUACUAUUGAAGGUUAUACUUGUGUAAACUCUGUAUGAUUUUGUUGGCUGUAGAAGAGGAGAGAGAGAAGCUAUUUGAAGGGUCAAGCGAUAUUGGUAAACCAAGAAUGAGAACUCCGCAGGAAAUUCUAACAAAAUAUAAAUUUGGCGGGGUAAUUAAUGUCAUGAACAUUGCAAUCGGUCAUGGUUUGCCGUGUAUGGGAGCUAAAUGUAGAUCCAUUGCAGGAUGCGGCAGCAGCUGCGGCUCAUGCAAAGGAUAAGCUGAUGCAGAGGCAGGAGAAACUGGAGGUGAAUAGUUCGAUUUCAUUACAGUCGCUAUGUUGUUUCUUGCAGCCCUUAUUCAGAGCAAUUCUAUGAAGCUGUAUUUCGCUUUGUUUUUACAGAGAAUAAGCCAGCAAACCGCGGAGCUUCAGAACGGAGCAGAAAACUUUGCUUCCCUGGCGCAGGAGCUUGCGAAAACGAUGGAGAACAAGAAGUGGUGGAAGCUAUAAUCCAACAAAGAGAUAGUUCGUGUGUAUAUUAUUGGACAAACGCAAUUACUGUGUUGCACUUGCACGCCAUCAGUCAGGUGCUGUGUACAUUAGUAUCAUCACUUGUUUGCUACCUGUGGAGGUGCUUGAUUACCUUGGCAGCAGGUAUUGCAGAGGUUUCAUUGUUAUUAUUCGGUAGCUAGCUUAGGGACGUCGUGCUGAGUUGUAUACUAAUACCAGCAUCAGCAGCACGCAAUCUUAUGGUGUGCACUGUAUUAAGCAAAGGGUCAUUGUUUUGUUUGUUUUUACUGCUGUAAAGAAAAAAAGGAGCUUGUAAGGAACUGACUGCUAACAGUAUUGAUGGCUGCUCGAGGGAUCCAUCCAUGGGGGCACGAACUUGCAUGGGAAAUGCUUGCUUUGAGAGUACCUCGAGUACAACCAUGUAUCUGAUUCAUUUUGCUAGCCUGUUCGAUCUUGAGUUGCACUCAAAGCUGUACUCAAAUGGUUGUAUGCGUAGUGUAGCAAUACUUGCAGAAAUAGUGAGAAACAAGUCAAGUGAUUAUUUGGGCAAAAGGAACCUACAACAUAAUUAACUGCGAAGAACAAACCAACUAAGGCAGAAACUGUGUUAUCCGACAGUCCAUGCAUGGAUACAUCCAUCUCAUCUAGUACCGCUCCAGGAUAAGCAGUAGAAUACAAUGCCUGGCCAUGGCCGUGAGGCAUGUGUUACCAGCCGCUUAAGCGUAAUAACUAACAAACUACGACAUACAGUUGUUCAAUCAUUCAAGGACAGUAUCCUCUUGGUCACAGGAUCCAACCAGGUCAAAUAGAACAGUCCAAAAAACCUUCUAAUGAAUGGACGAUGCACUGCUGCCUUUACUGUCUAAUAGAUCUCAGGGGUCAGGACAUUAACAUAUUCUUAGCUAGUAACAUUGCAACCAAGGCAAUGCCAAUACCUUCAACUACUGCCGUCCUCAGAUAUACAGCCAAUUAUCUGUAAAUACAAGCGACAGGCAGAUGCAUAUAAAGCCCAUUACCUGCGUCUUAGAUCUCUCUGCAAAAGGAAAACGGAGGAACUGUAAGUUCGAGGCAUGGAACUUUUCCUGACAAAUAAUGUAUCACAGUUUGAAGAUACUGGGCUCAUAUAAAAUAUACUGACAGAAUAAGGAAUAUAAUAUAUAUAUAUAUAUAUAUAUAUAUAUAUAUAUAUAUAUAUAUAUAUAUAUAGUCUUCUUUCCACUUCAAACUGCUAUGUAUUAAGCUAGCAAAUUAUAGCGGGUAAGUAUUUUGUACCAAUUUUCUAUCAUCCAAUCAUUUUGUGCACAACAUCUUAGAUUCUUAAGAGUGCAUUUCUACUUCCUAGAAGCCACGAGCAAGCGGAAACCAAAUCUAAAAGUGAAGGCUUACUCUUGGACCACGGUCUGUAACUGGUGUUGGCCUGCUCCCUGUAUUAUCUGCUUGCUGAAUCAUCUGUGGACUAUCGUGCUUAUAGAAUGCCUGCAAAGUUCUCACCAUGAAAGGACGGACAAUGUUCACUUCCAUUGCAGACAGAUUUUUGAGCUGCGAGAAUGGAAGCAAGAUGUGUAAGGUACCGUUGGUGCCUGACCAAUGAAGCAAGCAGUUAAGCUAGUACGAAACACAGAUAGAUACAAGGAAAUGUAAAUCACAUCCAAUUCAAUAAUAACUUUAACAGAAUCCGAGGAACCAAGAAAGGCCGUUGAUUUAGAGUCUGUAAUUCUGAAGGAGGAAAAUUUACCUUUACAGCAUGAGUGCGUCCCGAUAUUGUCUCUAAUCCAUUCUCAACCUUGUGGAAUCUGACAUCUCUGAUGUCCUCAAUCAAAGAUCUCACCUGUGUCACGAUCACAACUAGGAGUGAGCAUUUUUUCAAUACGAUUAGGACUUGCUGGAUGCAGGAAACAAAUUUGUACCGAGACUGAUUAAACUCACCAAGUAUGCAUCUGAUAUGUCAUCACGAGCACUGCAGGAGAAAAAUGAGAGUGAAUCAGGUUUAGGUUCACAGUCUGUUUUAGCAUCAAGGAAUAUGGGGUGAGGCAGUGAUUACUGAUCAAACAGAAGCUUGGAAAUUUCAAUAUAGUGGAAUGGUAAUGGCUGGAAUUCUCGAGGGGACUCUCUUUCUGCUUCCAAUACCUGUGUCAAACGGUCUAGUAACAUAGAAGGGGGCGCGUUAGUAGAUACAGGGGUAAUACGCAACCACACAUGGAAUCAGUUACUGAUACGAUACUACUACUGAGGAAUGCUUUCACAGAGGGAGCAAUGCUUUUGCUUGAGCAGGAGGCGGGGUUAGAAGAAAGGCAAAGAAGCAACAUAAACAAGGAAGCACUGACCAACAGUCAUCCAGUUGGGGGUGCGGAUGGUGCACUUGCCACGCUUCUUGAGCGCGACAGCGAGCCAGAGCGGCACCUUGGUCGGAAUUUGAGGGAAGAAGGGCCCGAAGUCCCCCUGCACGGCAGCGGCAGCGGCAGUGUGAGAUGCACGUAGAAAUGGGGGAUCGACAGUGGAUAUGGGUGGUGGACAGAGACGACGCACGCAGAUCAUGUUGAGGGCUUCCAUGCGGAUGUUGGGGACGAUGUCGACGAUCUCAUCCUCCGCCGCGAACUCCACCUGCAGCAUAGAUUGAGGGAAUUCGGCAUCAUCCCUUCCCCUUCUUCUCUUUGAAGACAGCCAGAUAGGUGAAUACUAACUAGGUGGAAGGGGUUCGCUACCUCGGAGGGCGAGAAGAUGGAGAGGUGCGGGUCGGACUGCCCGGCCAUGAAGGGCGGGGCGGCGACGGUCGGUGGAGAGAGGAACACGGAGGCGCGGCGGCGUCGAGAUCCUGCUGCUGCUGCUGGAGUGCUGGUGGUGGUGGUGGCGGCCUGGUGGGCGGCGGGGCAGAAUGACCUCUCUUGGGCCGGCAGCCCAGCCCGAGGCAAAAAAGCCCAUCAACAGCAGCCCGGUUCGGUCCCCGCAGCUUCCUUCAAUCUCGAGAGGAGAAGAGAGGGCAGCAGCGGACGGCGGCGGGCUCUCAAACUGCUUGCCUGCUCGUCGCCGCCGGUCGGUCGGCCGGGGACAGCUACGUGCUUUCUAGGUUUCGAUCCCAUCAUCCAGCAGAAGCAGCAGCAGCAGUGGACGACGGGUUCCCGAUGCUGGCCGCCCGGAGCCCCUCUCCGAGCUUCCACGCGCACGACCGCCUUCCUCCGCCGGCACAUGACAUCGCGGAGCGCCUCCGCCACCUGCGCGACCUUCGCAGGGCGCCGCUCCCCAGCCGCCUCGCCCGCAUCGCCGACCUCCACACCGACGAGGCCAGCCCCGUGCGCAAGCAUGUCGCCGAGUGAGCUCCCCUUUUUCCUGCUCCAAUUUCACCAUCUCCACCUUAGAUUACCCGCAGUUUUCCUCGGCUUCUGAUGAAUGAUUGAAACUAAGGCACCACUUAGCUGCGCUUGCAGUGACUAUUGCUAGCGCAAGGUCUUGGCAGCAGGCGGAAUUAGGUUAAACAAACCAAUAUGAAAAGAAAAAUGCUUCUGACCUUGCAAACGCUCUCCUGCUGUAGGAUCAUUGGUGAGGUUGGGUCCAAACACAUGGCGUACCUACCCGAUAUCAUCCCUUGUUUGCUGCACCUUCUGAAUGAUGAGGUGCCUGCAGUCGUCAGGCAAGCUAUCAAAACAGGAACCGUGUUGUUUGCCCAACUACUUCAACACCUAGUUAUCCAGGUAGCUUUAUUUCCAGCACUUGCUCUUGGACCUGCCUUCCUGUGCAAAUUCCGUCUCAGCUUGCUCAUUUUUUGUUACAGGGAUUAUUCUCCACUGGAGGGAUUGAUGAUGCACUUAAAUUGUCAUGGGAACGGCUUCUCAAGUUCAAAUCCACCGUCUCGCUCAUGGCAUUUCAGGCGAGCCCCUCUCCUUUCCUUUCCAACCAAAUAACCCAAUCUUCCUGGCCUGCACCUAUCUCACAUUUUAAUCUGUCUGUCAGACCACCGGCAAUGAAGGUGUCCGGUUACUGGCUGUUAAGUUUGUUGAAAAAACAGUUCUUAUGUACACACCAGAUCCUAAUAUCCCAUCAGAUCCACCAAGCAAAGCUACAAAAGGUACACCUUAUGCUCUACUUCAUAUGGAAAUGAUAAUAUCUUCCAAGUUUAGCACCCGUUGGGUGCAUUCUAAUUUGGCCAUCUGUAAACCAUUUGUAGAUAUGGGAUUCAAUGUAGCAUGGUUACGAGGAGGUCACUCUUUGCUUAAUGUCGGAGAUCUAGCCAUGGAAGCCAGCCAGAACCUCGGAUUGUUGCUAGAGCAGCUCAAGUCUCCUAAAGUAAAAUCACUCAGUACUUCCAUGAUCAUUGUCUUCGUUACUAGGUUUAUCUCUUGUCCACUUGUGUUCCAUUAUCUUUUCUGUAUGUUACAGUUUGUACCAGCUGUGAGAAAAUAAGUCUCCUUUCGCUACCGUGUCAUCUAUUUGUUUCGUCUGUUGAAAAAUUGCAUGCUACGAUGAUCUUUAUCCAGCAUGAGUUUUCUCCUUUUUCUUCCCCCUGCUUUGUGCAUUAUUUUUAUAACUCUCCUAACAUAAACUUCUUCCAGUCUCUCAGCUAUUGCCCAAAGAAGGCCUUCCUUUUACGGACGCAUACUGCCAGUUUUACUCUCCUUGGACCCAGCAAGUUCCAUUAUUAAAUUGCGAGUCCCAGGUGCAUUCCAUGCUUUGAAGAGUGCCUUCUCUGCAUGCCUGAAAUGUACACAUUCAAGUGCUGAGCCGGUAUUUCUUUUAGCUUCAACCUUUCUAGAUACAUUUUUUCUACUGACUGUACAUUCGAGAUGUGUCCCUUUGCCCUUAUUUCAAUACGUGCUCAACAACUGGAGAUAACAGAUUUGCUAUGUAUGGAAGGCUGUGUUAUGUUUUGUAGACACACUCUCUAAUUAGGAUUUUUUUUCCUUCUAUCAAUUUUGAGCCAGUUUGGUGCUCAUUUGUUUCCUGGGCGCCGGUCAUCCUGCCCGUAUCAAUCAUCCUGGAUGGAUUUGACUGGUCUCUAGACCCUAGAGGUGCAAAUGUGUUUGAUUUCUUGUUCUCUUGGUGUGUGGUUGUUCGGUUAGUUGGGUUAGUUGUAACAGAUGCAGGAUGACUGGGUAUUUGUUUGAAUAGUUGAAAAUAUGUAUUAGACGUGGACCAGAGUGGCAAGAAGAAAACUAAACUAACUGACCCUUUUGUGUCAUUUCAGCCAUUGACAUGUAGGGAAAAAUAAACAAAACUUCCUUUAUGUUGGAUAUUUUCGUGUCCAUUAAUGGAACAUACUAAGUGGUGAUGGUGGUCAUUGCCCGGGUCUCGACAGAUAUGUACCAAAGUUGAGGUGAUGAGGUGGAGAGAAGGGGAACGUGUAGGAGGGGGAGGGGCUUGCUGGGGUAGGGCAAAGAGAUACUUAGGUACUUCCUUGGGACAUAUCUCUAUUCUUUACCAAUCUUGUCUAAUCUCCACUUGGGUUCAACAAAGCAACUAAUUGCUUCAGCAAACUCUCAAAAUCGACCAGCUUAAUCUUGCUGGCUGCACCGUGAGCUAUGCGGGUUGAUGUGGGUGCUGGUAUAGUACCAAUCCCACAUGGAAAAUGCGUAAAUGGAAUGCCCUCAGGAAGUUUCUUAUUAUUCUCUUUCUACCCCAUCUCUUCCCAUGCUAGACUAAUGGAUACCUAUUUCCAAGUAGAUCAAUUCAUUCCGAUGCUGCAUGCCAGCAUCAUAAAUUCAAAGCUUUGGGUGAGCUUACAGUUUGCUGGUUCACCGGUCGAACCAACAGUUCUUAAAAAAAUAAAUAAAUGAUUUUUAAGUAACACGCCCAUGGAAUUUAAGGUAAAAUGGAAUUGUUUUCGCAUUAUCAUCACAGAAGUAACUUAGCGCAGUUGGUUUGUGGGUUUUGAUGGGCUUACUAUGUGCUGCACUUGAGGUUGCGGGUUCGAUUCUCCCCGCUAGCACAAUAAAUUUUUCAUCAUUUUGUAGCAGCUCCCGCUGGUUUGGCCCAAUUCUGAACGGUUCACACUGGUCUAACUGCAUGGCUGAUCUUCCAGUUGAAUUGAACCUGUGAGGUAAUGAGUUCCUGGUUUUCCGGUUCAACCGGUGGACCCGGUCCAGUUUUUCAUACAAUGGUUUCAACUGUGAUCACAUCAGGGGUUUCUUAGAGAGAAAAUCAAUCAAAGGUUUGAGAGGCUAGUUUUUCAGCAUCAGCCAGAUACGAUUUGCACUUCAGUAUGUUGGUAAAAUAAAUCUGGCCCGGGCUUAGGGAGGGCAAAGGUGGGCUUGGGUAAUAUCAGCCACUCCGACAGACUUGAGUUAGCAGCAUGAUCCACAGAUUUGCGCAACUGCACAGAGAUGUGUACAGUAGGGGAUGCGAGAGAGGUGGUGUUAACACUCCAUGAAGUCCUGUACACCAUACAUCCUGAUGCGAACCUAGGCAUAUGUUACACUUGAUUCCCAUGUUUCACUGCUAUACCUAGAACUAUUUUUCUGAUUGAGACUCCUUGGUGUUAGUGAAUCAUUUGAGAACUCACCAUCCUCAACCAAAAUAUGUGCACUAACCCCAGUCUGUAUAAGCUGCAUGAAUGCAAUCAAUCAGCACCAUUUAGUCCAUCUUCGGAAUUAAUUGCUAAGUAUUUUAUGUCACCAUUGGUUUCUUUUGUUCAUGACAAUGUGUAUGAUAUAAAUAUUUGUGCUCCGUUUGUUUGAGAAAGUGUAUAUCCUUAUCCCAUGUAUUUGGUUUGAGAUACAUUCUAUACUAAUUCAAGGCUGUUAUUGUAUUUUCAGUGGCGAGCACGUCUAUUGGAAGCUCAAAAUAUUAUCAACCAGGACUCAAUAGAAGAUACUGCAAAUGCUGCUAAGAAUCUGGGGGACACAUCAAACAUGGAAGAAUCGUUGCCUCCGAUGGUAUGUACGUGCUCCUCGAAGCCUGUUCUCUCCCUCUCUCAUAACUAUUUCAAAAUGGCUAUAUUUCUUUGAUGUAGGAGAGAAGCAAUGACAGUAGUAACAAGCGUAGUUUGGGUGAGGACAUGAAUCAGAUGAUAGAAGAUGAUGGUCACUCCAAUAAAAGAGUCAGACAUGCACUUGAUGCUCAAGAACAUAGUGAAGAGGCAAACAAGAGAAAUGUUGAGUCAACCUCUGUUGAUAUCUCAUCUGGCCAGCCCAUCUCUAUAAGAACCGAGAAUUCAGAAGCUGUGUAUCAAUUAAUUGGUAUGUUUGCUGCACUAGCUGCACAAGGUGACAGAGCUGCUGGAUCACUGCAAAUCCUUUCAUCCAGUAUCGCUAGUGACUUAUUAGCGGAGGUUGUAAUGGUUAACAUGCAACAUAUCCCUAUGUCUCGUCCUGAAGUUGACCAACAACAGCUUCCUUCUACUAGCUCUGGAGAUGGAAUUCCAUUUCAAAGUUCCUUCCCUCUGUUGGCAUCUCUGCUGAAGGUUUUUUCUUUAUAUUUCAUCGUUUGAUCUGUUAGAUUCUCUUCUUUUUUGGUUUAUUGAUCUUUUGCAUUUCAGAAGGUGAAUCAAAUUGAUCAAGAUGAAGUGCCUCCAACUAAGGAAUCCGCAGUAGUGCCAUCUGUUGCAGAUGAUAUCAUGACAGUUCCUGCUAGUUCACCUGGUCCUAGUUCAGUAAAUCUUCCUAUGGAAGAGAACAGUAGCAGUCCAACUGUUCCAUUAUGUGUAGAAACAGCAGAGGUCAAAGUAACCAGUGCAGGUGCCAAUAGUUUGAUUGAUAUUCUAGAAUCAUCAGAAACCUCCCAUGCUUCGACAGAACCUCAGGGAACCCAAGAGCAUGCUAGCAGUUAUAUCAGUUCAUUGCAUGCUGAUAAUUCCUCAGCUGGCCUUAGUUUGGCACAAUCUUCAGAAACUCGCAGCCCAAGCUCUUCGACAGUGGAAGCAAACCACUCACAGCUUUCAUCUUUGAAUUCCCUUGGUUCACAAUAUGUUCUUCCGAAGUUGGUUGUCAAUAAUGUUGAUCUCAGUGAUGAGGCCAAAGAUCUGCUUCAAAAAGAGUCAUUUUUGCGGAUUCUUGAGAGUGAUAAGCAAGAAGGAUCUGGUGGUUCAAUUGCUCGCCUUCCGUUGCUUGCUCACUUGGGUGUUGAGGUAUACAUAUGGAUUUAUCAUCUCCAGUAGAAUUGAUACUUUUGGCUUGAGCUUCGGUUGGUGAUUUUCUGUAAAGCAUAGCUCCUCUCAGAAACAUGUGUUAGUUAUUAGAAUUUUUGCAUUUCUGAUUCUUAUCCCGCUUAUGUACUGUCUAAUCAUCUUAUAGUCAUGCACUCAUUAUCGCUUUACAUUGUUCUUUUAAUGUGUGUUACUUAUCGUUGCAGUUUCCUCUGGAAUUGGACCCUUGGGAAAUUCUCCAGAAGCAUGUGCUUUCUGAUUAUGCAAAUAAUGAGGUACCGAUGUACAACAUCAUAUGAUUAGUUGGUGGUCUUUAGUCCAUUUAGUACAAUUGGUAUAUAGUUUAUAUUUUCAAUAGAUUUGUUGGUGGCGUAUAUAUUGAGAAACUUAGAAAAAUGUGUCCUGUUUAGCUCCUGUAACUGAUUAGUAAUCAACUUUCUUCUGUAUGAAUCAAACUAGGAGUGGUUUGAUUGCAUAGCUGUUAAUUAGAAUGGACUGGUUAUUCCAUUAAGGAAUUUAGUCCUGCCUUUUGAUUUAUUUCUGUGGUUACUUUUAGUAGUCCAGUGUUCCACUCUCCUUGCUUCUUCAGAGUUUCCUGACUCAAGUUUUCUUUAAGCAGGGACACGAGUUGACUCUAUGCAUCUUGAACCGGUUAUAUCGUGAGGCCGAGCAGGAUCAAGAUUUUCUUUCAUCUAGAACUGCUACAUCAGUUUACGAAUCCUUUCUUCUGAGUGUAGUAUGUCUACUUAAAAUUGAUGCAACUUUGUCACAAAUGCUAUUUCUCUCGCAUCAUAGCUGUCCAUUUUCUGCUGCAUAGGCUGAAAAUCUUCGAGACAUGUUUCCGGCUUCAGAUAAGUCACUUGGCAAAUUGCUUUGUGAGAUACCAUACUUACCAGAAGGUGUGUUCAAACUGCUAGAAGGUUUAUGUUCUCCUGGAAGUAAUGAGAAGCAGGACAAGGAUAUUCAGAGUGGUGACAGGGUAACUCAAGGUCUCAGUGCUGUCUGGAACCUUAUCAUGUUAAGACCUUCAAAUCGGGACAGAUGUCUGGAGAUUGCUUUGCAGGUGCUUUUCUGAUGUCAGGAAAUUACUAUGUUUAUAUUUUUUAGUGAGCAAAUAUAUAUUUACAUGCAUAUGUGCCUUUUGAGUAAUUUUGAUUCCUUGGCAGCAAAAUUUCCUAAAAUGUCUGGAACAAUGCCAGUGACAACUUGAUGUAGUCUAUUUUGACUUCUCAUAUGGGGUAGAGCACAAGUCAGAGCCAAUUUAAACAUGAAUAUCAACUUUGACUUGUUUUCCAGUUCUUCAGUAGAUUAUUACAUACUGGAUUUUGUAUCUGCACAUUGCAUUAAAGCAAUCCAACAUGCUUGAGUAUUAUUCUGCUUGCUCUGAAAUGGGGCAAUCUCUGAACAGUUGAAUAUUCAAUUACUAAUGGAUAAAACCUUGAAUCUUGUUAUCGUUCAAAGUUCAUUUUUAAUAUUUCAUGAUUCGUAUAACCUUUAGUGCCUUUUUUAUGUUGGCCCAAAAUGAUCUUUUCCAUUAACCACACAUAGAUAGCAGUUUGGGGGGGGGGGGGGGGGGGUUACAUAUAGAGAUAAGGCAGGGGUAAUUUAGGAAUAAGUAGGUACUACAUAGAUAGAUAAGGUGCAUAUGCACCACCAACUACACCCAACACACACAUGACUUAUGUUAUCAUUUUAUACGUUACUUACUAAAGUGUUUCGUGCAGAGUUCAACUCAUCAUCUAGAGGAGGUCCGCAUGAAGGCAAUACGUUUGGUAAUUGCAAAUCCUGCCUGCUUCUAAGAAAUCUGCACUUCCAUGGUUUGCUCACCUUUUUAUUUUACAUCUGAUAAACAGGUAGCAAAUAAGUUAUUUCCCAUGGCAAGCAUUUCCAAAAAGAUUGAAGAUUUUGCAAAUGAAAAACUUAAUUCAGUUCUAGAAGUGAUUCCUUCUGGUGAUUCUGCAGCUACUGAAAUGGCUACUUCUGAAGCACACAAUGUUUGUCUCAUGCUCUCAUUUCUUUCAUAUAUUUUUGUGCUGUAUAUUCUGACUGAUUGCAUUUUUGCUGAUUUGUUGUACUUAUAUUUUCUGAAGGAUGGUGGUUUAGAAAAUUUAUCAGCUUCAAUGGCAAAUGCUCAAACUCUGAUGUCGCUGUAUUUUGCAUUGUGCACCAAGGUCAGUGGUUACUGUUUAGCAACUAUUUUAGUCUAGUUAUAUGAUAUCUGCUAACAGCAAGCAAAAUAUAUUUUUUCUUACCAGAAACAUUCCCUUCUCAGACAUGUAUUUGCAAUAUAUGGUAGCCUACCGCAAGCUGCCAAGCAGGUCCUUACACCUAUUAUUCUCUUCCAAAUAUUCUUUUCCCUUUUGUUCUAGCAGCAAAUAUAUAUCUACCAUGUAAUUGUAUUUCUUCCAGGCAGUUCACCGACAAGUACCAAUUCUGAUACGCACAAUAGGCUCCUCUCCUGAUCUUCUUGGGAUCAUCUCAGAUCCACCAGGUGACAGCCGGGACCUCCUCAUGCAGGUGCAAGUUGUUCUUUGGACUUCUGUUUUCCUUUUUAAGAUAUUUUCUCUUCUAUUUAUCAAAAUUCAGUGACAAGAUACAUGCAAAAGAGGGUUUAUGUUUUAUAAGACUAUCUUCUUGUAUUGGGUGAAUUUCUAUAACCCAUGGUAUUGCACCCUGCAGGUCUUACAAACCCUCACUGAUGCUGCUGUGCCAUCCAAAGAACUGAUUUCUUCCAUAAAGAACUUAUAUUCUAAAACAAAGGUCGUUGCUUGCUUUAAGAAAGCGCAGAGUUCUUACCUACUUUUUUACAAGAUCAGAGUUAGCUUGGAUAUUCUCAGUUUCUAAAAUGUCAGCCUCAUUUUGCAGGAUGUUGAGGUCCUUUUUGCAAUCUUGGCUCAUCUGCCAAAAGAUGAGGUUUUCUCCCCCUCCCACUACAUACCAAAUACUAGUUAGCAUUAUCGUAUUGUGCGCCUAGCCAGUGGCUUAUAAUUUGGAAUCUUCUGCAGUCACUUAUUGCCUAUAGUACCGCCAAUUAUUUGCACUUACACAUGCCUGUUAAACUGCUCACAUAUUAUUCUAUUGAAAUUGUCACCCUAGUGUAAGUGUACUGCCUUUCAAUUGAUUGACAAAACACCAUGGUACCAGGCCAGUGGCCUGGGUGUGGUAUUUUUCUCCAAACCAGUGUUAUGAACCAGUGUUUUACGGGAGUAACUCUAUACUUUAUGCAUUAUUGUUGGGAAACAUCUAUGGAUCUGACCCUAUUGUCCAACUCCAACCGCCGUACGAUUCUGUGCACAGCUGAGGAAAACUACUGCUCCCUAGUCCCCUCAGGGAGAGCAAUGGCUCCCCCUGAUUUGCUGCCUGAUGAGCGUCGUACGGCAGCUGGGCGAUACAGAUGUAUAGCAGCAUUCUUGUUGUUGAGAUGUUUGUAUUUGUUAUGUUCAUUAUAAUUCUUUGCUCCCAGGUCCUGCCGGUGUUCCCCAGCAUAGUUAAUCUUCCUAUGGACAAGUUUCAAACAGCCCUUUCACGAAUCUUGCAGGUUAGUUUUUAUCCUUGUAUGACAGUAUAUGUUUGUUUGAGUCAAAGUGUGACUUGAAAAUAAAGCACUAGCUUGAGACUUGAGUUCAGUCCUGGCCAUGUAGGCUGAGACGAAUGGAACUUCACAAGUGUAUUAUUGUCCUGGUAAAUAUUUAUUGUUAAAGAACAAGUUGCUGUCACCUCUUUACGACUUUGAACUUUUCAAGUAACUUAGAUUUGGAUCUACUUUACCUAUUCAUUUCAGUUUAGCAUUGCAUACUAAUCACACAGCAUCACUUUUUACUUGUCACAGGGAUCAUCUCGGAAUGGCCCUUCUCUUGAUCCAUCAGAAAUUUUAAUUGCAAUUCAUGUAAUAGAUCCUGAUAAGGAAGGAAUACCACUAAAAAAGGUCUGUUAGUUUCUCGCUUUGUUUUAGAAUGAGGUCUUUGAACCAUUUGGCAACCUAAUUAAUCAACUGAAGGAUUCAUAGGUUAUGGAUGCAUGCUCUUCUUGCUUCGAGCAAAGAACAAUAUUCACUCAGCAAGUUUUGGCGAAAACAUUAAACCAACUGGUGGGCCUGAUUUCUGUUUCAGAGUAUCUGCCUUAUGAUAUGAUGUAGUCGUUGAUCUAGGUAAACUUUUCCACAGGUUGAACAGAUUCCUCUUCCUUUGCUAUUCAUGAGGACCGUCAUGCAAGCAAUAGGUGUUUUUCCUGCAUUGGUGAGUUAGCUCCUAACCCACAUUAUGUGAACUAUGGCAAUGGCCCAAUAUUUGGUGCUGUGAAAUGGAUGGCAUGAUCUUUGUAUAUAGCCUAGUUGUGAAAGAGAUUUGUAGAUGUGACCAGGAUGGUGUUAUCAUCACAUUCGUUAGGCGCAUUCUCCAGAAGCAAGAGUAGUUCAUUGAUUGUUCUUGAUUUUGGUGAAUGGUGAAUGCACCAGAUUCUAUUGAAAAACCUACAUCAAUAGCUUUUUUAUUGUAGCUAGAUGGGGAUAAGCAAGAAAGACACACCCAUAUUUACAACCUGCUAGCCAUGUGUACUCCUUCCUGUCUAAAAGGGAGAUGAAUGGUUGAGGCGAUCAAGGAUCCGGGAAUGAAAUCCUGCCAGAACAAAUUGGCUAAUGUGAAUCUUAUUGCCUUCAUCCUGUGGAAAUCUAGUGCUUGCAUCUUAUAAUCAUGAAAAGUUGUUAAUAUUUUAGUCUCUUGGAGGAUCACCUCUCAUUUAUAGUAGAUUUGAUGUUGAGGACUUUAUAAUCUAAUGGUGAACCUUCCUAACAGGUGGAUUUUGUGAUGGAGAUCAUGUCACGCCUUGUGAGCAAGCAGGUCCUUAAUUGUUUUUCUUUUUUUAGUUGAAGAUGACUUUAGCUGCUGUUCUUUUCUACAUAUUUAUGAAACUGGACUCCAUCACUUGCCAUGGCAGAUUUGGAAAUAUCCUAAGUUAUGGGUAGGAUUUCUGAAGUGUGCUAUCUUGACGAAACCUCAGUCAUAUGGCGUGUUACUGCAGGUUGGCGCACAUCUUCAUCUCUUAUAUAAUCUGUGUUCUUGUAUGCAUUAUGCUCGAUCCUCAUCUAGGAGUUAUUUUACACUGCAUAUGCUAAUUUCUUAGUAGGAUCAAGGGUCCAUGGACAAAUGAGUUUUGUAUCCAUUUCCUUUUAUCUAAUCAUGUAUCAAUAUUUCCCAUGACAUGGCAUAUGUUUAUUCAGUUACCAGCUCCUCAACUUGAGAAUUCCUUGAGUAAGAAUCCCACACUGAAGGCACCCUUGGUUGAGCACGCCGAGCAGCCAAAUGUCCGAUCAACUCUUCCAAGGUUUUCUUUGUUCGCUCUUAUCAAUAUCAAGUGGUAGGUAUGCAUCUAAUAUGUGGCGCUGGAUAUGCUAUGAGAAUCUGCUUUUAUGGGCAGGUCUACUUUGGUGGUUCUGGGUCUUGCUGAAGAUCAACAACCACCCCCGCCAGCAGUAAGUCAAGCGCAGAGCAGCCAAAACCAGGCUGCGGAAACCAGUAGCUCUGCUGCAGAUACGACUACAGAAGUAACUCAGGAGUCUUCUGCUGCUAGUUAGCAUCGGCCUUGGUAAAUCUAUCGUUGAUUCAGUGUCUUGUAGCAUCUCAUAUCUGGAGUGGUCCUUCUGACUGCUGAAGACCUAAAGGGGAGGAUGAAGACGAGACCCAUAGCGGAAUCUGACAAGACCUAGUUUUUUUUUAUUUAGUUGAUGGAUAAUUUUAAUGACCGUGUAAAGCAAAGGGGUGAACGUUACAUUGCCUUUGAUAGGGAAAGGAUUUGUGCUGCUAGUCGAUCUAUAUUACGCAGCCAGUGAGUCGAAUACUUCAACAUUUCAUGUCCCAUUCUAGUAUACUAUCCUGCUUUUCUAUCAAUGUCUGAGCCACACUUACAUUGCAUACAUGCCUGAACGGCCAAGAAUCACUGCUCUUCUGUGUCUGAACUCUGAACCACCUUGCGGGGUGUACAUUGUGCAAGUGAUUUCCUUUUACUGGAUUCCCAUGGGAUCAAGGAUCAAUGCAAUAGGUAUUAGUGAUCGAUCAGCGUCCUGGAUUCAGAACAACCAUACAAUCCAAUUCCAAUUCCAAUCUAUGUACAAAGAAACGAUGAGAGAGCACACUCAACUCCCAGAAUCACUUAUGCAUAUUCACACAAAUUAAACAUAUAAUGCAAACAGAAAGGGCGUCGGCACUCAGACUAGACAAACUCGAAGCGCAUGAGAAGCUUCACGUGGUUGUACUGGUUUCCCUUGCGGUCGAAGAGCGCCACCGCCCGGAUCCCCGGCCGCAGCUCCGACACCGGCAGCACCGUCUGCCCUCCGAAGUCGUCCUUCUCCGACAUGUCGUACUCGUGCACCUCCACCCGUAGCAGAGCGAUCUCCGGGACGGUCAGGGGGAAGGUGAACUCCUCCUCCCAUACUGGCACCCAGUUAUCCUCGAUCGCCCUGGUCUUCUUCAUCAUCGAGUCUGCUGGGACUCCAGCUAUGCCAACCUACCAUACCAUACCAGUGGACGAGUUCUAAGCUGUUGCCCAAUUGAACCUGAGUUAAUUCUAUAUGCAUACAUACCCGCGCAUAGAAAUCUGGAGGAGAAUACUGAUCAAAGUGUGUCUGCUUAAAGUCCAUCCGCCACCCAUCACCCAGGUACACCUUGACCUUCAAGGUUUUCUUCACAGGUUGGCGUUCCCUUGGGUCAAACACUUCUGGUUCUGUCUGCAUCAAGAAAUCUGGUUUCUUCACAUAACCACACCCACCAUUGGCUUUAUAAAAUCCAUGCAUUAGCCAAAGGGCUCUUCCGUAUCCCUGAAGAAAGAAAAUCGGAUUGUUGUUACGACAAGUGUAAGCAGCCUCUCGAACUUGGAUUAACAGCUCAGAAGGAGAAAAUAUACCUGCAUAUUGAAGGCCACCAUUUGAGCACCAUGCACCCAACCAAGAAAUGGGUUGUAGUUGGAUGAAGUAACACGAGUUCCCUUGGGGUAUAUCCUCAAUAUGUUUCUCUGUGUGAACCUAUUUAGUAACACGAGUUCAGUGCAUGCAGGAAUAUGGUAUCUUGAUCUCUCCCUCUUUCUACCGCCGCUGUUAAAAUACAAAGAGGGGAAGGUGCUAGUAAGAGUAGUUAUUUUAUGCAUACCUCACAAUUUCAGUUCCAUGAUCCUCUGCCAGUUUGGCAAGUUGUUGCUCGCUCAAACUGAGACGCCUAACUUUAUCUGGAUCACUCUUCAAGGCAUCAGCCAGAGAGCCUUUUGGCUUCCCUGCUCUAAUAGUAAUAAGCUGUUUAUACUGUGGAGCUGAAUGAGGAUGCAUUAUCUGUUCCUCGUCGUCAUCAUCGUCGUCGUCCUCUUCGUCAUCUCUUUGGUGAUCUGAGCCAUCAUCAUCAUGCUGCUAGAGGGAACCACAGUUGUCUGUAGGUGAAAUCUCGCACAACUGAUUGAUUGCAUAGUGCGAAGGAAAGGAAGGCGAUAGAAUAGACAAUACCUUAUUAGCAGACUGAAUCUCAGUCUGAAAAUCCGGUACUUCUUUUCCCCACGCGGCAUCAUCAGCAGCUCCUUUGCCAGGAUGUGGGUCAGCGUCACCCUCUUUCAUGGUGCCAACCUUGGCUUCAAGGUACUCCUUGGGGGGCUUGGUGGAGAGGAGGACGCGGCCCUUGAGCUCUUCAGGUGAUGGGAAUUCUUUGAAAUGAUCGGUUCCGGGGUAGAAGAGUAUGUCGCCAAAUACUUCAAGGACCAUCUAAUAAUAAUUAACAGGGUUGGUUUCCAAAAGGCACAUGUUAAGUUAGAGAAGCGCAACAAGCAGUCAGGGAAGACGCAACACAAUUGGGUACCUCGGCAACUUUUGCCUGGAGGUCAGCCGGAAGGUGGUCUUCGAGCGUUAUGAUGACAGGAUAGGGGGACGCCACAAAGGCAUAUUCUUUGAUGGACCGCAGGCAUUUGAUGAGUGAAACUGGGGUGGUCAAUGUCCUAUAUUGUUAUAUAUGUGUGUAGAAGGGAGAGGAAAAGUGUAAGUUAGCAUAAGCAUUAUUCUGUUGAAACAAGAACAACAACUUGCAUUGUUAGCAGCAAGAGCAUCGUCGUCAAGAGUAACAAUGUGGAUAGCUAGGUAGAUAAAAUAAAAGGCCACAUGCCUGCCGUGUAGGAUGUUGAUGUCGUCCUUUGCUGAAUUUGGCCACAUGUCGAGCUCUAUGACCCUCACCCCCCUCUGCAGCGCCUUGAUGAUGGGGACGUCGCUGCAGUCGCUGCUGAGCUGGUUGCCGGUGAGGUAGGAGUUGUGGCCCGUGUAGAUGAAGUAGUGGGAGAGCGGGUGGGACAUGUCGUGGUGCACCUGCGGGCGUCGGAUGGGCGGGUUGAGGUCGUGGGAGAAGAGGUAGCGGUGGAAGUCGUCGAGCGCGAGCAGCGGGCGGGAGAGGCGGGGGAGGCGGGCGCGGCCCUGCUGCUGCUGGAUACGGAUCUGGUCGAGCAGGCGGUCGACCUCGCCGUCGUCCAGCGCGUCCUCCGUGGCGUCGAGGUAGCGGCGCAGGCCGUCGGCGCCCAUGUGGGUCCCGCCGCCGGAGUGGAGGUUGAAGAGGGCGCGGACAUCGUCGGGCGGGGCGGCGUCCCGGGACUGGAAGCGGCGCUUGAAGAUGAGGCAGCACUUGUAGGUGGUGCCCAUGAUUGCGUGCCUGCAGCUUUCCUUGUUCUUGACUUGAUGGGGGAGGAGGCCUGGAGCCUGGGAGGAGAGGGAGACGAGACAAGAAGCGGGGGAGGGGAAGGGAAGGGAAGGGGACGGGAGGGGACGCGUCUGACUCAGCGCUAUAAGGAGUAGUAACUACCAAACCGUCCUUUUCCCCUCCUCUUUCUUUAUUUUCUCUUCAAAGCUUCCUUUUUCUUUACCAUUUUGAGUCUGCACAAAUCCACAAUGCACUUGUGUUGUUCUACUACUUGUGUUUUUGUGCUGAUUAUAUAUAUUAAAAAGGAGACAGAUACAAGUCAGUUUCUAAAUAAGAAAUCACUUGGAUGGACAGGACAAGUGCUUGACAAAAAGAAAAGCAAAAACCAUGCAAAAGCUAGGAUGGAGGGAGGGCAAGAAAAGAAGAGGUACGUUGCCUUGAUGCGACUCAGUUGUCCGUCGACAUCAUAAUGAAUAAUAUGCAUCACCAUCCAAAGGAAGGCACCAGCAGCAUCCAUUAGCUGCUUCAAUUCCGCUUGCCCUGGCCCAACCAACCAUAUAUUGCAAAUCUGGAACCGAAAUCAUUUCCAACAUGCAUGAUAUAUAUAAGCAUAACCAAUUUGAAGUAAUUUAUAUCCUCACCUUUUAUUUUCGCUUAUGUAUGUAUAUAGUCUAUUUAUUAAUUUGUAGGAGAAUGGCCAGCAAAAACGACUGAGCAUGCAACUAUUCGAGACACCUAUUAUAUUCAAACAAUGUAGUAGUAGCCUAGAAAAGCAAAAAACGACAUACAUUUUGCAUUUUGGAAUGGAACGGAGGGAGUACACGUAUUCCAUCCAACAUAUUUAUAAAAAUCAUGCAUAUAUAUUGCAGGGUACAUCAUUAUUAAUUAAUACAGUAGCGUGUAAUUAUGCAGGUUUUUUUUAAUUAUCUUCCUUGAUGAUUGAUCGAGCUCGCUGCUAGCUCGUAUAUGUGGAUCUAGCUAGGGAACUACUUAAUAAUAAGCUGCCAUAGUUUGCAGUGGCCGGUGAUGCAUGCAUAUAUCUGAAAGAAGGAUAUGAUGAUGCAUGCUAGAGCAGCAGCGUAGUGUCGACGAGACGCCAUGCCAUGAUCGUCGGUGAUGAACAGCCAGCAGGGAUGACGGGCGUCGUUUCGUUGUAGUCCUCGACCAGCAAGCGUUGCACAAACUUGAUGGAGUCCUGCGAUUGGUCGGGCUCCGAGGUAGGGAAGCGGUCCCACCUGGCAGGGUCCCAGAGAAGGUGGCUGGCGAAGGCGAAGCCGUGGACGGAGUCCGACGUGCUGCUGGUGGAAGAGGAGAACCAGGCGGCGGUGGUGGUGUUGCGGACGCAGACGGGCCCUUCCACGGCCACCCUCCUCUGCUGCUGCCACACUGUGGCCACGGCCCACGCACCCAGAGUCCUGCGAUGCGAUGCCCAAUCAUUCAUACAUCCAUUAUUGCCCGGCCAUAGUAGAUCUAUCCUGGUCCAUGCUGCUCUGCCGACACACCACCGACAAUUCAUCCAACAGUAAGCUAGGCAGCAGGGUUUGUACCUUAUGUGGCGGAGGUUCUCGAGGAGGCGUAUGUCGUAGACGUCGGCGAGCCCCGCGAAGAUCACGACGCCGCGCAGGCGGUGCUGCUCGAUGUGGGCCAGCGCGACGUUCCGCUGGUGGUGGCGCUCCUCCUCCCAGGCGUCGUCGGAGUCGGAGGAGGUGAAGUUGUCGGCGUAGGUGAGGUGGCGGUAGAGCACCCCCGUGCGCCGGAGCAGGGCCGCCGUGGGAGCCGCCUCCCGCGCGGCCUCCACCACCAGCCACACCACGGGGGGAGACGCCAGCCGGAGCGCGUGCGCCGUGCGCGUCAGACCCGCCGACCGACGCUCGCGAUCCGACGACGAAAAGCCCGCCGUCGUCGUGAUGACGAUGACAACCACCUGCACCUGGCGCUGCUCCUGCUCCUGCCCCUGCUGCUGCUGCUGAGGCGGCUGCUGGUAGAGCAGCUGGUAGUGCGUCGUGAGCAGCGCCUCCGUGUGGUUCAUGGCGCGGGCCGCCCUCGAGAGUAGGUUCGUGUUGGCGUCGGCGGCGGCGCGGGAGGCGGCGUCGGCCCAGUCGGAAGGGGCGAGGCCGGUCACCAGGCCCACCAGGAAGCACGCGCAGGAAUGCAGCAUCGCGCGCCGCAGCACCAGCGGCCGCUGCUUCUUUUUGAUCUGCUUGCAAGUCGUCGGAUUGUGCUUCGGCGACGCCAUGGCGGAGCUAGUGUGCCAGUGGAAGUGGACUGAUAAAAUGAGGAUCGGCCGGGAUGGGGAUGUGUAUGCAUGACGACGACAGGUCGUCCUCGUUUCAUUGAUGGCAAACUGUACACGCACAUGCAUCGCUGCUCGACUGGGCCAGUCAGUCAUGAUUGGAUUGCAUUUGGCCCGUAUAACUGAACUGGGCUGCGUUCGUCCGUCGGCCUCGGCCCGUUUCAGCGCGCUCUCUCUCCCCAUCUCUCUCGCUCGUCUCGGCGGCGGCGGGCGGUGUCGCCUCCCCACUCUCCAGGCCAGGCCAGGCUCCACUCCCCACUCCUCCACACCCAUCCCAUUCCAUUCCAUCCCCAAAUCGAGCCGAGCAAACCCUAACCCUACCGCUAGCCACCAUGUCCGGCGCCCACAUCGACCUCAACAACAACGCCUCCUCCGACCUGGCUCCUCCGCCCAAGCGCGGCCGCGGCCGCCCCCGCAAGAAUCCCCCGGCCCCCGCCCGCCCGCGCCCUCCGGAUCCCGACGCCCCCAGGGUCGGCGGCUUCGCGCCGGGCGACAUGGUCUGGGGCAAGAAGCUCAACCACGCAGCCUGGCCCGGCCUCGUCUACUCCGCCGGCGGCAACGGCACCGGCCACGACGGCCAGCUCCUCGUCUCCUACUUCGGGGACAAGGCCUUCGCCUGGUGCGACGCCGCCGAGCUCAGGCCCUACGAGCCCUACUUCCCCGUCGCCGAGCUCUACGACGACGGCGGCGACGACUUCGACGCAGCCGUCGAGGCCUCCCUCGACGAGUUCUCCCUCCGCGUCGAGGCCGCCCUCGCCACCCCCGCCCGCCCCUUCGUCCCCGCCGAUUUCCUCGCCUCGCUCCACGACCUCGCAGCCGACCGCAUGGGCUUCACCAACAGGGUGCAGGCGGCCAUCGCCAAGGCGCAUCUCAGAGCAUUCGACGCCUUCAGGGCGCUGCCGGACCCUCCUCACUACACCUUGGAACUCGGCCUGCUCCCCCUCACUCCUAUCCAUCCUCCUCCUAAAUCCACCACCACCACCACCAGGGAUGAGGCCCCCUCCAGCAGGAGGGGCAGGAAGAGGAAGGAGGAAGCCGUCAAGGAGGACGACUCCGACGAGGACUGGGACCCUAGGAAGAAGGGGGCCACCGACUCCGAAUCAGACCUCGACAUCGACCGCAAGAGGGGCUCCAGGGGCAGGGGCAGUGGUGCGCCGCGCGGGAGGCCUCGAGGGAGGCCUAGGAAAACUGAUGCCUGCAGGGACACGCGGCUCAAGGAUGAGGAGAUGGAGGACAAACUGGAGUAUCCGUCAGCCGCUGACAUGCUGCUGCAACUCUUGUCGGUUGCUGCUGAUCCUGUCAACGCCAGUUACGACUCUGUUCCUCUCAUUGUUAGCUUCUUCUCAAAGCACAAGGACAACGAAGCGCCGAGCGUUUACCAAGAUAAAGAGCUGCUCGACACUUUCGGUUGCAAGAAGGGUAGGAAAAAGUCGGCUGGGAGCUUGGGCCCAGCUACAAAGGCAGAAGCCGACAACGAUAACGAACUGAUGGCUGCGGAUGGUCAGAGGGGCCGGAGAAAGUCCGCGGGGAGCUUGUACUCAGCUAGGAAGGCAGAAGAUUCGUAUUGGUGUGAUAUCAUCAUCAGCGAUUUCGAUGACGGAGAUAGUGAUUAUGAAGGUCGCAAAAGGAAGCGGCCCUCCCAGAACACCAACAGGAGUGCCAAUAAGAAGAUGAAGCAGGAGGAGACACCUCAGGAUCGGGCCUCUGCAGAUCCUCCCGCAGAUGCAAAAAGUCCGGCUUCUGCAGAUCCUUCUGCAGAUGGCCCAGCAGCCUUGAUUUUACAUUUUAGUAGUCCAGAAGCUAUUCCUUCUGUGGAUGACAUCAACAGCAUAUUCCGCAUACAUGGACCUAUCGUGGAGGGUGAGACUGAGAUCACUAAGAAGUCCAAGAUUGCAAAAGUAGUUUUCUCUAAGCGUGCUGACGCAGAGCGGGCAUUUAGCAGUCCGGGAAAGUAUAGCGCAUUUGGCCCAUCGCUUGUCACAUAUGAAAUUCAAUGCAUGCCAUCUGCGCCUCAGGUUUCUUAAGUGCUGCAGUCUGAACUUGAUAUGUUGCGAUUUCAGAGGUACAUGUUGUUUGACCGAUGCCAACUUUAUUUCCUGAUUCAUUUGCUUAUCGAAUUCUCAUAUGGUGAAUUCAGGAAAUGCACCAUGAAGGUUGGAGCAAUGGAGCAUUAAUUGGUGUCCAUGACUUAGAGUUAGGAUCGCUCACUGACCAGGUCACAUUAGUCACUGAGUUGGCUGAGCAAGUUUUAGGCUUUCUGCUGUUGCAUGCGUCCAGGUGACUGGUUGUGUGCUUGGUAUCGGAGUUAAUAGUUUAUGUUAAAUCAUUAGAUGGUAGAGUAAAUCAUGUAGCGUGAUGCGCCUCCUUCUAUGUUAGCACCUUAUCCUUUUUGUAUUGCCUAGUAAUUGCACAGCUGUGGAUCUCUCUAUUAUGUUGUUUUUCAGCAUAUGCUUCCUUUUCUGGCUCUUAAUCGCUUUAAUCCCCAUAGAGUAUUGUGCGUUAUGUGCCUUAGUAGCAGCUACUUAUUGAUUGUGCAAGGCUAGUUAAGUAGCUCUUGAGUUUCCAUGAUGAGCGAGCUGAAGCAUAUCUGAUAUGUUACUAUGCAAGUGCAUAUGCACAAUGGAUACGGGUGGGAGUGCACACGCUUAAAAGAGGCACUAUUCAGGGGCGUGCUUCUUUUUUAAGAUAAGUGUUCUUGUUGUGCUGCCAUUGAGCGUUGUGAAGCCACAGGUCCGAUUUACCAAUUUAAUGUAUAUGCUUGAUUUAUUGAAUGUGUCUGUCUUAUGGGUCAACUGCUUGCUGUGCAUUGCCAUUCUGCAAGUUAGCAAGAAGGUGACUUUGUUUAUGUACGUCAGUUUGCUGCAUUCUGCAAGGAAUUUGGACACGUACAGGAAGGUGAAGUCAGGCCUACAGCAGUGUGACCAACCAUGCUUUUGAUGCGUGUUGUGUUGCGACGUUGUUUGACGUUCAUUUUUAUCUCGAGAUUGUUGUGCAAAUGUAAACAUCCUGACAAUUACUGCAUCGUAUUUAUGCAUGGAUGAAAUUGGCGCGCGUAUUGCACUGUUUGGAGCAGAUAGAGGAGAAAAGGAAAAGGGGGGCUUUACUAUACGGGAACCACAACACGUAAUAAAGAAUGAAUCACUAUAUUUCUUUUCUUUUGUUUUUCUGUGGAUCACACCAUACCAUUGGCGUUUCAAAAAAAAAAAAAAGAACACAGGUAUUAUUGGCACUAGCUGAUCCAUGAAAGAUGAGCUGCCGGUUUCAUUGCUUGCUGCGCUUCUUAGCUUCACUGUAAAGAACCACCCCUAUGACAGUGAGCGUGUAGCCCAGCAUCCCAGUUACAGACACGGGGUUCUUGAAGAUGAGGAUGGAGAUCACAACUGCAACGGCACCUUUUGCGUUGCCCAGGACCUGCAGCCGGAUUAUAUCAUGCUCUCAGCAUCAGCAUUGCAUGCAUUUCCUUCCUAACCAAUAAACCAACUGAAUAGAAGGAAGGACGAAUCCACAUACCUGCAGGGUUAACGCGCUUGUGUGCUUUGUCACCAGGAAGUUGGUCAGAUUCACGAAGUAGGCCAAGGAAGAGUUGAAGAGCAGGUACCAGAUGAUGUUGAAGUCCUUCUUGGCCAGUUCCAUGGUGACGGCAACGACAUUAUCCUCCAUGAAGAUGGUUGCAGGGACCAGGAGAAUAACAGCGAUUGGCGCCAUGUACAUGAGCAGGUUCAUGGAGUUGAUCUUCUCCCUGCGAGUUGGGUUGCUUCUUCAGUACAGCAUGCAAGUUGGGAACAUAGAUAGCUGGUGGUGUGGUGGAUUGCCUACCCGUCGGAAGACAUGAGAAUCCCUUGCAGGACUGUCUUCAGUGCCCUUGCGGCGGUUGCUCCAACGCACAUGAUGAACCCAAACAGAUUGAAGCUGGGCUCUCCCUGCAAUCACAAGGAUGACCAGGUCAUUCGACUCAGGAUCGGACUCAGCUUUAGAGAUGAUGAAUGAUGAUCAGAGCUGCACGAUUCUAUUACAUCAGUUGCAAGCAUGUGUGUAUGAUGGCAUUGGCAGGCAGAAUGGUUUCCUCAUAUUGUCCAUCCAACAAGGCAAUGCGAUCAAAGUGAUGUGAGAAUUGCACGAUUCAGGUCAAUCUUUUUUGAGAAUUGAAAAUCAAGCACAGAUCCGGGAAUUGGGGAUCUCAUCUCGUGUAAUAAUUUGAUUGAUUGAAUGAAUGCCAACUUACGCCGCUGGCGAUGAUGACUCCGGUGACGACGGGCACGAGCGCGAGGUAGGUGAGCAAGGACUCGCGCUUGACGGUGAUGAGGUAGGCGAAGACGGCGGUGAAGAAGGGGGUGGUGGCGCCGACGGCCUGGUUGAAGGAGACGGGGAGGUAGCGGAGGGAGAUGUUGCCGGAGACGACGGAGGCGCAGAAGACGAGGCUGAGCGCGGCGAUCUUGGCGAGCUGGAGGCGGGAGCGCGGGAGCUGCAUGGGGACGAGGCGGAGCCAGGCGAUGGCGGCGUAGGAGAAGAGGGAGCAGGCGCCCAUGUGGCACAUGGUCAGGAAGAUGGGGUACUUGAACCCGUAGUUGCUCAGCAGGUACUUGUUCAGCAGCAGCACCCCGAUGUUGGAGGAGUACCACGCCGUGACGAGGCCCACCGUGAAGAGCCGGCCCUUGCCGCCGUCCUUGCCACCGCCGGUCAUCCUCGACCCUGCUUUAUCAGAUCCGGGGGUUCGGUUCGGCACUUGGGCCCUGCUGUUGUUUUUCAGAUUGUUCGCCGGGCGGGCGGGGGAAGAAGAAGAAGAGAGGCCGGACCCGGGACGGAGGAGGGAGAAGAGAGCCAGGGAGGAGGAAGGUGGAGGAGAGAGAAAGCAAAGGGCUGGCCCUUCUCGCCGUCUCCCUUUAUUUUCUUCUGUUUAUUUAUUUAUUUAUUACUGUUAUUACUUAGUAUAGUAUUAUUCUUUCGAUUUUAUUAAUGCUGUCUAUGGAUGGAUGGAUGAGAAAUCAUCCAUAGACCAUAGAGAUGGAUCCAUCCAUCCAUCAUCUGAAAGCUUCUUUGCGUGGAAGUGGGUGCACAAAACCUGCACUGCACGAGUUCCGUGGCAACCCAAAGAAUGAAACCUUUUUAUCUGUUGCCCAAGCGACAGCUAUUAAGGGACGGAGGGAGUACUUUCUGUCAAAAGGUGACAAUAUAACAUGAUUAACAAUAAACAUUAACCAUCGCGGUAGCAUCCUCAAUAAUUUGAUCGAUUCAUUCUCCAGCUAUCCUAUUGUAUCAAAGCUAGGUGGCUCCAGUCAUCACACAUCAUUUUUUUUCCUUUUCUGUUAGGUUUCACAGAUCAAGACACUUGGUUCUUGACAUGAAAUACAAGAAUUGGAGGUGACCUUCCCCAUAGAGAGAUACUUCAACCACAAAUGAACCUUCCUUUUGUGCUGUUCGCAGCAUGCAGUCAGUCCAGUGCCACAAAACACUUCUCCUUUUCUCCACGGCAACUAGAGAGGAUUAAAAAGAACACUCCAGCGGGUGUACGAACCACAAUCACCAAUGGACUUGCAAAACAUAAUCAAUAACAUCUCUUCCCUGCUACCUAAAAAAAUGGACAGCUUCCUCAACUAUGCUGUCAGCCAGGAAGCUUGUAGUUCGAUUCAAGCUUCACUCACAUCUGUAGGAUAGCUCCCAAGAACUCUUAGGAAAGUGGCGAAUUCCUGAGGAACAAAAUGAACCGAGUCACCAACUCACCACUUGCUUACCACAGUGCCAUAAAUAAAAACUGAUAAAGCAAUACCUUCAAGUUUCCAAGUGCAUUUUGAGCAUUUGGAUCAGCCAUCGAAGCCUCAAUAUCAACAUAGAAGAGGUAGUCAAAGUGCCUGGCUCAUCAGUGUGAAAAAAGGGUGAUAUGAGGGGAGGGGAUAUCUAGACAAGCAGUUUACAGAAAAAUCUCAGAUUCUGUAUUCUCAAAGAAACUUUAGUGAGUAGAUUAGUUCCUACUUCAGCGGUGCAGAGCAAUUGUCAUCAGCUACACGUAGAGGCCUUUUCUUGUGUGGACGGCUUUCCAUCUGCAGAACAUAACGUUGCAGCACUGAUAAAUUCUCUCUUUCGAAAAUGGAAAACCAACCAUCAGAGUGUUUAGGAAUGAAAAUUUCAAAGAUACCUUUGUGAGAUUGAUUUUCCGCAAAGCAAACACCGCAAGUGCUUUGAAGAGUUGCCCAGGUCCUUCUUCCAAAGAGAAGACAAUGCUAGUCUGGAGAUCACCAAUUUGUAUCAUUAAACUACCAAAGAGUGGAUCAUGAACACGUCAAAGAUUUCCUUCAUCUCGUACCUUGAAUGGCUUGUCUGUGCGAGGAAUAAUGGGUUCUCGAGCCAGCAUCAUAAAACGGGUGACAUUGUCUGUGUCAUCCUUUACAAGGAGUUAGGUCGCUCUUUCAAGAAAAUAAGGAAUGGUCUCAUAAAAAUUCAGUAGGAAACUUAGUAUACCUGGAUGUUUUCUGCUAGAAUAUCGAGUCCAUAAAGCUCAGCAGCUAAUGAACUAGCAACUGCACCAGUGUCUUGGAGCUUCUGUUCCGCAAUAAGCUAGAAAAGGCAUGUACGGAUAAUAAUUAACUAACAUCCAGAUAAUAGAUUCAGCGUAUCAGGUAAAAUGUACCUUUGCGGCGCCUGCCGUAUCAUCAACAGCUUCCCUAUGCUCAAUUCCUAACUUGGUGAGUGUUUGUUCGCAUUGUGCAAGAGCCUAAUUGUAAUAAUUGAUGCAUAGAGAGUGCAGCAUUAGUUUUUUUCUUUAAGAAAAAAGAUAAAAGGGGAAAAAAAGAGAAAGGUCUUAAUUACUUGGGGAUGGCUCAUAGCGCUUCGCAAGUUUUGAAUCUUGACUCCUGGAUUUGCCAGCAAGCAAUGGCGAACUGCAAGACGUACCUCACCAACGAUGUGCAACCUAUGUCGAAGUAGAAGGUCAUAGUUGCGAUGUAUGCUACCACCUAAGGAGUUCUCAAGAGGUAAUACUGCCCGAUCAGCAACGCAUCCUUCGACGGCCUGUGGUGUUAGAGAAGAUCGGGUUGGAUCGCAUCAUCAGCAGAACGCCAGAACCCUCAAGUAAGUAGAUGAGCAAGGGGUGUGUACCUGGAAGGCGGUCUCGAAGUACUCACAGGGCACGGUGUGACAGCUCGGGUAGGCCUUCCUGGCGGCCGCCUCGCUGUAGGCUCCGGGGCAACCCUAAACACUCGUAAUGAAUAAUUCCAAUGAUGCUAAAGAUAUCCUUAAUUGAUGGAGAAAGGGGUGAAGAGGUUGGCGACGGACCUGGUAUGCGACCUUCAACCCGUCCCCAGUCGGCUCCAUGAGAUCCGCGGUGGUGAGAGGCCCUGCUUGGUUCAGUCGCGCAUUUCAUCAUCAUGAAUUCAAUUGUUCAUAGAGAGGCGAGGUGAUCUUACGUGGCAGCGAGAUGGGGUCGCGGGAGGCCGGAACGGGCAGAUCGCCGGUGGCGGAGGCGGAGAUGGAGCGGCGGCUGGCGCGCAGGGGCAUAGAGAGGGUGCGGGGAGGCUGGCGGCGGGCUCCUCCUUCCCGUCCCGUGGGGGGGAUCGGGGGUGAGGACGCCGUGGCCACCAUCCUGUAUUCCUGUCCUGCUGGCUGCUGCUGCUCUGCCCUCUGCUCUCUUGGACUCCGGAAAUAGGCAAGUGGGGUUGGUUGGUGGCCUUCUUCCUCGGUUCCAUAAUCAUUUUUACCGGCUCGGCUCCUGUGUUCACGGAAGCCACCAUCGUGGUUCCUCCCGACUUGUACGUGACAGGAGCCGGAGCAUAAAGACGGCCUUAGUCAUAUCAGAAAGUGUUUUUGUUUUUCAGCUAUAUUAGCUGAAUGUUUAUGUUUAAACAAAUAAGUAUUUUUCUUCAUAUCCUGAGACGCUCUGCUUUUAUUUGAAUUUACUCCGAAUCCUGCGGCUGCUUUCUUUACCCUCCGCACCAAUCAAAGAUUAUUCAUCAGUCCAGGCAAACGUUUGUCAUCAUCAAUCAAAGAUAGAUGAGCAGAGGGCACCCGCUUAAUAAAUAGAUGGAUAGAUAAAAGGCUGGACCAAGCAAGGAAAGAACCAUGACAUUACACACUGCACCCUCAGCUGAAUAAAAUUCAGAAAUCACAUUACGCUAACCGUUCCACAGAAACACACAAAAGAUGGUCUGCCUCACAAGGCCGAACCAAUGUUUAUUACAGCCACCACACUCUUCUCUGGUUCGUAACAGUCUCGGGUGCCAAAUUGACAGAAUGGUAACCCCCUUUCCCUUGUCUGGCUGGAAGCACCUUACGCCUCAGCAAAUCUGCAAUCAAGAAAACAUAUCCACAUUACUGCUCUGCCAUCUGCCUUAGUGUUCAAGCAGUAGUAGCAAACAAGCAUUCUUCGUGGUCUGGACCUUCCACCACGACUUACCCCAAUUCAGAAAGCUUCAGGUGGGCCUCAGCAUAGUCAGCAAAGAAGGCGUCCUCAUCCUACAAACCGGGCAAAAUCUUCCAGGUUAGAACUUACAAGGGUGAGCUGAAAUCUCCAACAAGGUGCAAGAAUCAAACAUAUACCGCUGCGUAUUUCUCAACAAGCGGGCGGAAGGAUGGGUCAGAAAGGAGGGCUUUGUCACUUGGCAGCUGCAGAAGGCCUUCCUUCUCACCACUCAG
RNAcentral lists this long non-coding RNA (38684 nucleotides) under Setaria viridis. Its description in RNAcentral is "long non-coding RNA (SVIR_LNC002495)". Lineage: Eukaryota; Viridiplantae; Streptophyta; Magnoliopsida; Poales; Poaceae. The record is from RNAcentral.